Molecule: small RNA, 639 nt
Filed under: Pongo abelii (Sumatran orangutan)
Lineage: Eukaryota; Metazoa; Chordata; Mammalia; Primates; Hominidae
Description: retained intron
Source: RNAcentral
GAACACAGGAAAGGAAGAGCAGCGUGCCAGAGAUCUUUUCUUUGCUCUUUGGAUUCCGGAUCUCUUCAUGAAACGAGUGGAGACUAAUCAGGACUGGUCUUUGAUGUGUCCAAAUGAGUGUCCUGGUCUGGAUGAGGUUUGGGGAGAGGAAUUUGAGAAACUAUAUGCAAGUUAUGAGAAACAAGGUCGUGUCCGCAAAGUUGUAAAAGCUCAGCAGCUUUGGUAUGCCAUCAUUGAGUCUCAGACAGAAACAGGCACCCCGUAUAUGCUCUACAAAGAUUCCUGUAAUCGGAAGAGCAACCAGCAGAACCUGGGAACCAUCAAAUGCAGCAACCUGUGCACAGAAAUAGUGGAGUACACCAGCAAAGAUGAGGUUGCUGUUUGUAAUUUGGCUUCCCUGGCCCUGAAUAUGUAUGUCACAUCAGAACACACAUACGACUUUAAGAAGUUGGCUGAAGUCACUAAAGUCGUUGUCCGAAACUUGAAUAAAAUUAUUGAUAUAAACUACUAUCCUGUACCAGAGGUAUGAAUAGAUUUCUCUUCUUAUUGGUAAUUAUUGAAAUCCAAAUUGAAAGGAAUCAAUCAUGAUCUUCAAGUCAUCAUUUAAAUGGUUAUCAAUAAAAUGGUUUGAGAAAAAGA